This 444-nucleotide ribosomal RNA is filed under the name uncultured bacterium. RNAcentral's name for it is "bacterial SSU rRNA". It matches the Rfam family "Bacterial small subunit ribosomal RNA", at positions 29 to 490 of the family's 1533-position model. The record is from RNAcentral.
AUUGAACGCUGGCGGCAUGCCUUACACAUGCAAGUCGAACGGCAGCGCGUCCUUCGGGAUGGCGGCGAGUGGCGAACGGGUGAGUAAUACAUCGGAACGUGCCCGAGAGUGGGGGAUAACGCAGCGAAAGCUGUGCUAAUACCGCAUACGAUCUCAGGAUGAAAGCAGGGGACCGCAAGGCCUUGCGCUCACGGAGCGGCCGAUGGCAGAUUAGGUAGUUGGUGGGAUAAAAGCUUACCAAGCCGACGAUCUGUAGCUGGUCUGAGAGGACGAUCAGCCACACUGGGACUGAGACACGGCCCAGACUCCUACGGGAGGCAGCAGUGGGGAAUCUUGCGCAAUGGGCGAAAGCCUGACGCAGCAACGCCGCGUGCGGGAUGACGGCCUUCGUGGUUGUAAACCGCUUUCAGCAGGGACGGAAAAUGACGGUACCUGCAGAAGAAG